UACGGAGGGUGCAAGCGUUGUUCGGAAUUAUUGGGCGUAAAGCGCGUGUAGGCGGUCGUGUAAGUCAGAUGUGGAAUCCUUCCGCUUAACGGGAGAAGUGCAUUUGAAACUGCAUGACUAGAGUACGGGAGAGGAGAGUGGAAUUCCCGGUGUAGAGGUGAAAUUCGUAGAUAUCGGGAGGAACGCCAGUGGCGAAGGCGGCUCUCUGGAUCGAUACUGACGCUGAGACGCGAAAGCGUGGGGAG
This 245-nucleotide ribosomal RNA is filed under the name uncultured bacterium. Its description in RNAcentral is "partial 16S ribosomal RNA". It matches the Rfam family "Bacterial small subunit ribosomal RNA", at positions 524 to 768 of the family's 1533-position model. The record is from RNAcentral.